This 70-nucleotide transfer RNA is filed under the name Laimosemion geayi. RNAcentral's name for it is "tRNA-Gln". The record is from RNAcentral. Lineage: Eukaryota; Metazoa; Chordata; Actinopteri; Cyprinodontiformes; Rivulidae.
UAGAAAGUGGUGUAGUGGAAGCACAAAGAGUCUUGGUCUUCUUAGGUUGGGUUCAAAACCCUUCCUUCUA